Molecule: long non-coding RNA, 9052 nt
Organism: Diorhabda carinulata
Lineage: Eukaryota; Metazoa; Arthropoda; Insecta; Coleoptera; Chrysomelidae
Exons: 4
Source: RefSeq, a predicted model, not a curated record
UUUAAAAAUAUGGUGGCAGUUCGUGUUUUUGCGGGGCGGGGUCCCAUACCGGAAAUCGCCGAUAACGCUCUGACGCGAUACGACGCGCGCCGUAGUUAUGUAGUUACUCUCUAGCUACCGCGAAAUAUGCAUUACCUUGUCUUUUGACUGCAAAGCCGAGUCUUAGAAAUAAUAGAACAAGUGAAAUGGUGUGCAGGUGUACCAUUGUCGAGUAAUUAGUCGAGAGAAAGAGUCAACUGCAACUGCUAAAACGCAAGACGAUGUUUUUCUCAUCCCCACCAGAUCUGUUAGCGUUCGGUCACAGCACGCAAUCGCCUGUUACAAGCAGUGAGGAAAAGUGGAGGGACAUAUUUCUCGUGUUGAACCCACACCAACGGCGAAACAUUGCAUUGCCAACGCAGAAUUUGAGUGGUGACCAACACCCGAAUCAGCCUGAAAACUCUGACCACGAUACUUUAAAAAUGGACUUCUCUAACUUUACAAAAAUACCUAUUAUAAUUGUGGUUCAAACGAAGUGAAGUGAAGUGAACUCUAUUUGUGAUAGGACAUACAUCUGCUGAACUUUGCUGUUUGUUUUUCUCAACAUAUUUGGUUUGACUGUUCAGAACACUAAGAACUCAUAACAAGAAUUGAGUAGAUCAGGAAGCUACAUAUCUAUGGGUCGAUAUGCGUCUAUAAAUCAUUAUGUGUGAGUUAUUUUAUAUGUUGCCAACACUUUCCUUAACCGUUAUUAAUAUGAUGAAGGGCUAAAGAGAACUGUUUAGUCGCUCUUAAAAAUGUAAAAAUGUAAAAUUAGUUCAGAGAAUUUACUUAGUUCUCCUACUUCCCUUAAUAUCUCGGAAAACUAUAUAAGACAAACGUAAGUUUGGGAAUGUUUCAACUCAUUUUGUUUCUAAUUAUCUUAAUGCCUCCUUCUUUGUGUCAUUGUUAUUUUUAUAGAGCUUUGGUUUAUCUUUGUUUACUGAUACAUUCAUUCUGAACCUUCAAUCUUUGAAGAUAACUUGGUUAUGGAAACGCGCAUCAAACAGUUUAUUUUCUUAUGUUGGAUGAUAUGUACGUUACAAAGGUCAUAAUUCUCUCAUUCUGGUUUGGAUAUAAGUUCCAAGCUGUGAAAUUUUGGUAUGAUCAUCAAUUCUAAAUAUUAAUAGAUUAAAUUUUUACUGGAUUUAUCCGAAUAAGCAAAAAAUGACAUUAUAGUAAACACAACUAAUUCAUCUGUUUCAGUUGAACAAUAACCAAAUCAAUUAUAAAGAGAAAGUAUCCUCUAAGCUAGAAUGCUAGAAAUGUUGUAUAAUUUGGAAAUACAUGUGGUGUUCUGAACCAUUUAGUCGCACCAUGUUAAAAAAUAACUAUUAUUGAAAGCGUUUUUAAAAAAAAAUUGUGCAGACCAACCGUCUUGUCGGAAAACAAUCACUCGUAGUUGAAAGAAAGUGAUUUUUAUCACUAAAUUUCACUUGCUAGAUUUUCUCCUGAGAAAAUAUUUCUUUAGUUGUUUUCACUUUACCUUGUUCAGCAAUGUUUUUGAAUGAACAAGUAUUACUAGUUCAAGCAGCAGAAAAACAAUUUUCUUGAUUUGAUAUUGAAUCUGGUAGAUCGCAUUUUUUUGGAUUUCCGAAAUUCUGGAUAUAACCAUACUUCUCAAACUCAUCUGAUUAUAGUGGAUUUUAUAGGAAUUUGCCUCCCGCAUAAGGACAAAUAAAUAAAUUAAUGAAUUGUUGAUUUAUGUGACCUCCAAAACGCAAUUUAAUUAAAAAUCUGUACUAUUUCGUCUUCCGUGUAUAUUUUAUAAAAUUAUAAUAAUAUCAGCUUAAGGCGCAAAUGCAAAUGAAUCCAGUUUACCAACUUUAUUAUAAUUUAAUGCAACGUUCUCUUGAAAUUUACACUGAAUAGAAGUAAAUUGGUUGAAAAAUUUACAUUAAAAUUCUUAUGUUCUGUAAAAAAACAAGAAUUUUUUCUAUAACCUUCAUGAUCUAUAACAUCAUGAUCAUUUUUUAAACAGUAGGAUCUUUGGCACAGUAGUACAAUCUGAUAAAAUAAAUUAAAUACUAAGGGAAGUUACCUUUUUCAAAAGUUUUAUUCUACCAUACGAAAUUAAAAGUUGGAAUAAAUAUUAUGAAGACGUAUAAUACAAUAACAAGCAAAUUUUAAUUCCUACUUGUAAAUUAGUAAUUGGUAGGUCUUGUCUAUCUAGUUGCUGAGUAAUCAAUACCAAACACUCGAAGGGUUAAUAAUUCUUUCAUAAUUAACUCAUAGUUAACUGUUAUUAGGGGUUAACAUAAUUGGCUAGAAGUUGAUUAGUUCUCACCCUUUUUUCAUCGAUUAUAAACUCGUGAUUGGAGGUUUCGUUCGUUAAAAAAAUUCAUAUUAUCUCCAUGAGGUUGUCUCCCUAAUCACUAAAAACAUAAUAAUUAUGACCUUACAAAUAAAACUCGACAUUUCAAGAGAAUUUUCUCAUGCAAUGGCGUUUGAUUAGGGAAGUUCUGCUGCACGAAUAUAUUAAAUGACACUACAGAUGAAUAAUUUAAAUAUAAACAUACAAUAGCACAUCUAUAACAUGCCAUGACGGCACAACGUAAAUAUUUGAAUAAUUAGUUCUGUUAAUAGAAUCAAUCAAUCAAAUUAAUUUACUCAUAUUUUUGAAAUUUCGAAUCGCAAUAUGUGUGCACAUAUUAGUAUGUCUUAUCGUGCAAAUUUUCCCCAAACUGUUUAUCUAAAUAAUAUUUAAUUCGUGGACUACUAAUCGGCAAUGUCUGAAUAUCGAUGUGUGGCUUAGAUGUUAGGGGCCAUGAUGGAUGGCUGACGUCAUCCCAAAUCCAGUAAGCCGUAUCGAGGGGGAUAUGUUGUCAAUUAGGUGCAACUCUGUUCCCCUCUUCAUCACAUGCAUGUUCCUCCCACGCGCGACAUUGCUACACUGCGACUGGCUUCCAUUUUGAUUGCAAUUUUAACCCUCUAGUAUUCGAUUUCAUCCCCCUAGGUUAUAGAACAAGGUAUUAUCAAGAAAAUUACCUCCUAUUUGGGAACAACUAAACGUUUAAUCGUGGUGUAAUUGAAAAUUAAAUUACAUUUUUUUCUAAGGUUGAUGUUGAUACCCUUUUUUAGAUCAAAAGGGAAGAAAUUAGAAGUAGUGAUUUAAUUAGAAAGAUUAAACACACGGUACAUUUUAUUUUUUCUUUUAGAAUUUUAUAUAUAUAAACUAUAAAGUUUUAUAGUCUUCCUUCUAAUUAAACGCUUCUAAGUUAAAUGUUAUGUUUUCGUUUAAUAUUUUUUACUCUAUCUCCUGCUUUCUUUCUCUUAUUGGAGUGUUUAUAACACUGAGGUGUGUGAACUCUUCUCUUGAUUCUAUUUUGAUCUUUUCAGCCAUGUUUUUAUUUUCUAAUCUUGAUAUUUUUGUUUUUCCUACAUUUAUUCUUUCCCAUCUUUCUAUCUUGUUCUAUAACUUCCGUCAGCAUAUCUUCCAUUACUUUAUUUGUCUUGGUAAUGACGACGCUACAAGUUUCUCUGUUCAUAGAAUCAAAAGACUGCUGAGGAUUAACUCUAGCAACAUUUUUUGUUUUUUAUGUUGAUUUUUUUAUUAUUUAUCACAUUGUAUGUAUCGCAUCUAUAGGAAACGUUAGGAAUAGAUGUUUUUCCAUUUAUUUGAUAACAAAUAAUACAACUUUCUCGUUCCAAUUUGAUACUAUACAUCAUAGUCUCCCUCAAGAUACCCUUACGUUUAUUCAGCGAGAACAUUUUUGUCUAUGAACAAACAAAACACACUUGUACUCAAUCUAGGAUUUGGUGUAAGCCAAACCUAAUUUGAAAAGUAGAAUUGCUAGCAAACACUCGCGAUAUAGUACUUUUCUUUCCUUGUAAUACAAUUUCUAUUCAUUAAAUAUUGUUUUUAUAUUAUUUCAAGUAGACGUUGAUCAAAAUACAGAUACCAUAACUCUACCAUUAUCUAAGGAUCUAAAAGGUAUACUCAUAAACUUCACUUAGUUGAAAAUUGCGGUGUGAUAAAUUGAUUCCAAUUCGAUGAAUACAUGAGUAUUCGAAAGCUCGGAAACGAUUCAAAAUUUAUUUCGUAAUUAUAAGUUCAGUAAGUUAAUGGAUAUAAAGCUCUUUUGAUUUCACAACCAGAACACUUAGAUGCCAAUUAACCUUUAUACAUAUAGUCUACAGUCUUCACUAAUUUCGAAUUAUUAGUGCUAGUUACAACUAGACGAAAUUGUCAAUUCGAUAACGACGUUAAUAAUGUUGAUAAUACUACUGGUUUAAUUAACACGACAAUACGUUUUCUUCAAAGAAUAGCGCCAAUAUUCUUACACGAACAUUUUGAGUUUUACAAUAAAACGUAACCUUUGGAUGCGAGAUUAAACAUGUCUGUUAUCCUUUUACUUUAUCUACAAUCUAUACUCAUUAAUUCGUUGACAUGUUAGCAUAAAGCGUGUUGUCGACAAAAUUCAUACAUCGUUUACUUUUGGCCCCCCUAAUAGCACUCGUAGCGACAGAGACGGAUUAAAAGAAACUGUUUGGAAUGUGUAUACCAUGAUCUUGGUAUUUGAAUAAAUAACCUAUUUUAUGUCGACGAUAAAAUCUGUUCCAACCAUACGGAAAAGAUGCAAUUGACCAUUCAAAUUCUUUAAACUCAAAUUAAGAUGUUGAAAAAUAAUUGAAAAUGUUAUCUAAAUUUUUCUUACAUCAAACUCAAAUGAAAAGUGUUCAGUCUUCUAGACAAUAUCGCAUUAAAUCAAAAAAAAUAGCGAUUUUUCGACUUCCUCAAUCUAAUCUCCUGAUUUAAUAUCUUCCAACUUUUUUCUGUCCUUUUCUUAUUUGUAAAUCUUCAUAACAUGAAUAAAUUUUAGUUUCUCAUUCCUUUUUCCUUUCCACAAGAUCACAAAAUGUAAUAAAUAACUUGCUCAUUAUCAACAAAUACUUCUCUCCUUACCUUUUAGAGAUAUCCAUAAUAUUUCCAAAUCUUUAUUAAAUGAACAUUAUAAUAUUAUAUUUAUUGUUUAUUCCGUGGAACUAUAAUUAAGUUACUACCGAUACGGUCCUGAUAGCACCCCGCUGGAUGUCGAUGAAGCGCCGUGCAUACAUUACAAGAGUCCCCCGAAGAGUACUAAUCCUUGGUAAAUUGUGUUUUAGUCUUCGCAGGGAGAUUGAUUGUUUGAAAGGCAGCAACGUUGUAAGACAUGAGAUGGACGUAACUAAGUAUAAUGGAAUUAAUAUUUUAUAACGAACGACACCUUAAUUUCUUAUAUACUUAUCUAUUCCAAUUAAGAAUCUGUCUAGUUAGUAUGAGAUUUUUUACACUGAUAAUAAGAAUGAGUCCUUACUAUUUAUUUUACGAGGAAUAACAGAAAAAAUAUUUUGAUAAAGACUGAAAUAGGUUGAAACGUCAAUUUCUUACAUGUUUUAAAUUCUAAUUUUCAAUCGAAAGAAACUCAAAAUCAAAACAAUGUUAGUAUCAAAAACAUGAAAAAGAAAAAUGAAAAUGAUUUAUAGAAAAAUAUUUAUAUCAAAUAGUUGAUACUUUGUACAUUUAGUAUGUUCACAUAUUCUCUAUUUUCCUCUUUCCGUUCUCUGAGUAGUUAGUUUUUUAUUCAUUACUAUUACUUAUUUCAGUAGGAAAGUGUCAGGUAUUAAAGGCGAAAUUGAAGAAAAAAAUAGAAUAAAAUUGGAUUUUUCUAUAUUAAUAAUCACAACAAACAAGUUUUCGGUAUAAAUUUUUGUUCUUUACUAAAUAGUUAAUCAUGGAAGUUUAAAAAGAAGGCGAUGAGUUAUGAAGAAUUUUUAAAAGAUCAGACGAAAAAUUAAGUCGUCAGAAUUCUACCCAUUCAAAUUUUCAGUUCCUUAAAUUGUGGAUUCAUUCGAAAACAAAGAUUGCAAAUAUUCGUAUCAUCAAUUUCUCAUGAAAAAAGUAAUGUUAGUGAACAGAUUAUGCCAAAAUGGGAAUAUUUUUGGAAAACAUACGUGGAAUAUUCCUUCAUAUUCAAAUUCUAAACAAGAAAUUUUUGUAAAAAUGAAUCUAUACUUGAAACCAAAUUAACGGGUAAUUAAUUUGUUCAUACAGGAAUCUGUUCCAUCCUCUUAACACCACUUUGGUUAUUGUUUAGAAUAAUAAGGGCAGCUCAGUCCAUUGAUUUAUGUUGACAGAUAAUAAAUUUAAUGAUUAUAUAUUAUAAUUGUAUUAUAUCAAGGUCCUCUUGAAUAUAGUUGCUCCGGUGUCGCCUUGUUUGAUUCACAUAUUCGAGAACUUAUGACUUAUGAAGACUAUUGGGUUUCAUACUUAUAGAAAAUGUUCAGAAUAGAAUUUAAGUUAAUGUUGAAAUGUUUUUCAUUAUUUGUUGAUCCCAAUGUCUGGAUGAAUAUUUCUGAUACUGAUUUGGAAACUAGUAUCAUCGGCUACAAUGGAAAUGCGGGAAAUUGAAAAGAAUAAUAUUAAAUAUUUCUUAACCUAACUCAAUGAUGUAGCUUAUUUAAAUAUAAAUCCAAAAUUACUUUUUUCAAUAUUUAUAACGGUUAAUUAAUUGAUAAUCUAUAAUAAAAUCAGAUUAAAUCAAAGGCUGCAUUUAAUUGAGUGAAAAAUUGAACGUAUAUGAAACUCGUCAGCAGUAAUUUCGGCAUAAGAAAAAAUAAUAUGAAUUACCUAUAAAUGUUUUCAUAUCCUGUUAAAAAUUAGUAGUAAUUAAGAAACAACCCUUUGAAAACAUCUGCCAAUGUUUGACUAAGCUUUAAAAAACGCAUUCAACUUACAUAUUACGCCUAUGUAUAGUAAUUAUAUUACAGGUAAAUUUGUAACCAAAGGGAUUGGAGAGAAAGGUGCACUGUUUUUUAUGUUAUUUAAUUUACUAUCCUUACGAAGCAGUUUAUUCGUAAACUUAAUUGAAAAUAUGCUUUACUUUACUCCUUAAUUGCAAGAGGGGGGCUGUUUUUACGAUACGUACAUUGUUCAAAAUUUCGUUGGUCGAAUUCUAUUUCAUAUUGUGCCACCUUUGGUAAAUAAUGGUUCUUCUUCGACUCAAAAUUUUUCAAAGAAUCAUUGCUUCAGAUUUACGACGCUGGUGGCUAAAUAUGGAAGAUAGGGGGGCUGUGGCAGCAAUUCGAAGUGUACUUCGCUCAAUUUUGUCAUCGUACAUCGGAAUAUUUGUGAUAAAUCUCCUUAUUUCCUCAUUUGGAGCCGUAUUUCUUUAUUUUUGUUAAGUUCGAUGAUAAACAAAACAUCCAUCCUUAUGGUUGGUUUCGUCGUCUGUUUACUGAGUAUGGCGUGUAACGGUGGAUACAAAUUUUAUUUAAUUUUACGUAUCGAUGAUUUUUACCAUUUUUCAAAAACAACUACAAAUUGCGUUAUUCACUUUGAUAUACUUACGGUUACAGCAAUUAUAUUGUCUGUUAAAUAUUUUCGCCAAAACAUACUAUUGACAAAGUUCUCGAGUUUUAUUUAUAGUAAAGUUUGGUGUUCUAAUUAUUGGUUUAUAUCUUUCGUUACAAAAAAUAUGGUGCUGACUAAUCAUUACUUAUUUGACUUAAAAGACACCUUCAUUAAUUAUUAUUACAUUCCCGCAAAGCUGUGAAAUAGUUGAUAAAUAUAUAGAGUGUCCCAUAAAUGAUGUCUGAAAUGGUUACUCUAUUUAUAAAGUAAUCAUACAAAAAGAAAGCAUUGAUAAUCGAAAUAUAACCGCAAAGUAUUUUAUGGUUUUAACAAGCUCUUUGCCUUGGUAAAAUCAUUAUUUGUAUCUCACCCUUCAAUUUCACCUAUUUUCUUUGCUGUCACGAGUGCUUUAAACUUCUGAAACUAGUCAAAAGUACUGUAAUGAUGUUUCCAUUGUCAAUAUAAGGUUCAUAUUCAUAUUCAGUGCAUACACACUAUAUAUGUACGUAUAUAGGAAGUUUGGUACGCUUUCAAUUUAAGGACGCGAUAGUCAUUUCCUUUAACUGUUUUUUACCGACCAUCAUCAAGUCGUUAAUAUCGUUCCAAAAUAACACGCUUAGCAAAUAUAACGUUCCUCCCUCUACCAAAAGACAUAUUUAUCAUUUUCUUACAAAGUACAACAUGUUGGAGUAUGUUUAUGUAAGCUAGUAAGUGUAGUAUUUAGUUUCCAGUAGUUUAGUCUGUUUUUAUAUGGAUUCUAUCAACUGAAAUUUGUAAUUCGUGAUUUUGAAGUGUUUGUUAUUUUUUUAUGUUAAUCAUAUUGGGAUUAUUGUAAGUACCACAUUGUAAUUAAUAGUAUUAUUCCUGAAAUUGAUGCGAUACAUUCCGAAAUUUUAAAAUAAAAUUAUAUAGUAUUGAUAACUAGAAAAAUAUUAUUAUUAUCAGAAAAGCAUACUCUUCAGCUUAUAUUUUGACUUCACAAUAACUGAUACGUUCUUAUAUGGUUUAUUUAAUGCCCCUAUGCUUUAACAGUAAAUUAUAUUUAAGAGAUAAAUGGAUUUUAUUGACUUUGCCCAUUUUAUCUUUAUAGAUGUGUACGUAUUUUUUAAAUAAAUAAAACUAAACCAUAAUAUAUGUUGGACAAACAUUCUUUGAUACCUCAUGAAGGUUGGUAUUUAGUGGCCUCCUUUGUUUGUUAAACCAGGAACUUAUCAGCAGCGUUGUGAUAUCUGCGUAUCAUAUUCCCUCUAAAAAAACUUUCCUAUUGGAUGAAUGAGGGAUGAGUAACAGCAUCAUACCUUAUAUUAAGUGGUUCUAAAUUAUAUGCAGAGCACUACGCUCAGCUUUAAAUAUGAAUUACCUAAGUAAAUCAGUUUUUUAAAGAUUUGUUGUUGCUGCGAGUUGGCAAAGAAUACAAGAUUUCUUAUACUCGAACACAAUUUUCAUGUUCCUUAUUAAAAAUGAUUUGUUUAGACGGACCAUCCAGGCUUGCACUACGGCUAGGCGAAUAAGAAAUUUUGAUUUGCUUAUCAUCCGUUUGGAUGUAACAAGUAUACCUUCUAGCGUACGACAGCCAAAAUUUUCUUGUGAUGAGACAGGACAAACAAAAAAUUUCUUGAUGUAAUAAUGCAUAAACAAAAAUAUAAACUGCAAAAAUGUACUUCUUUUUAUACAGAAACCAUAAAAUGAUUGUUAUGAGAC